UUGUCUUUUAUGCUAUAGCUAUUCAACCUUCAACCAAAAUCGCUCUCUGUUCAGCGGGAGUGUCAGAGUUGUUAUCUCCCCAGAUUGUUCCUUUGGUCUCUAGUCAAUAGUUUUUAGCUUUUAUUAAAUCACUCUGUUUUUGGUCUUUAUAAUCACAUACAAUAAUAAAAUCACAAUGGUUACAGGUUAUAAUGUUUCAAUGGCUCAUAUUCUAUUACAGCGUUAUAUUCUAAAGCAAUGCAAUUCUUUUAUGCCACUUUUAAUGCCUUAUUACUUUAAUGCAUAAACAAUUCCUCAAAUAAUAUAAAAUAUUAUUUACCUUUUAAAAAAUGCUCUUUGGCUGAAGGUCCCCUCUGAAUCAGAUCCUUUAUUUCAAACAGUUACUUUUUAGCAAUUUAGAAAGGUCCCUUUCUAACUACUUAUGAUAAAUUACUUCGCUGUUAAGAUUAGAUUCAAAGUCUAGGCUAACACCGUCUCUUUGGUCCAGAUACAAUAUCAACUGAAUAAGUUUUUAUCACUUCGGGUUUAUAGGUAUCAUUCCGGGUUUAUAGUAUUUCUAGGGUUUUGAGACCCGUCUUGUCUGUAGUAUGCCAAACACUGUUAUAACAUCAAGCGGGGCUAGCCCAGAUGGAAUCGUUAUAGACAGAUACUUCCCGCAAUGUACCAACAAUCCUUCCUCAAAUCACUUAAAAAUACAACCGGCGUUUGCAAAUGACGAAAUAGCUACUCAAUCGUUGUCUUUGUAAAUGCGUUAAAGAGUACAGUGUAAUUUACCUUUCUUUGCUGGAUGAUUUCUCUAAGUAAUGUCCAAAUCACUAUGGUGGAGAAGUCAUGCCUUAGCAUUGAGUUCUUCCACUAUAUAUACUAUUUUCUUUCAGAGGAAACCUUGGACAGAUUCAACAAUUACAUAGUAUGGCGACCAUGGUCGCUACAUUGCUUAUUCUAUCUUUAAUGCUUCCAUGAUAUCACUCCAUAGCUCUUCGGAGUCCAAGUCGUUUGUGGGUAGUGGUGGUGCUUCGUACCACUCUCUCUCGGACGAGCUGUUUGCUGCUUCGCUCUGUUCACUCGUAUGGCAUUCGUCGGUGUCCUCCGUUGACCAUUGUGGUGUUGCGUUGGAUGCCCAUGUUUGGAUUUCUGACUCAACUGUGACUGGCUCUUUG
Oncorhynchus tshawytscha (Chinook salmon) is the source of this 1160-nucleotide long non-coding RNA. NCBI's taxonomy places the organism in Eukaryota, Metazoa, Chordata, Actinopteri, Salmoniformes, Salmonidae. The record is from Ensembl.